GUGGGGAAUAUUGGACAAUGGGCGAAAGCCUGAUCCAGCCAUGCCGCGUGUGUGAAGAAGGUCUUCGGAUUGUAAAGCACUUUAAGUUGGGAGGAAGGGCAGUAAGUUAAUACCUUGCUGUUUUGACGUUACCGACAGAAUAAGCACCGGCUAACUUCGUGCCAGCAGCCGCGGUAAUACGAAGGGUGCAAGCGUUAAUCGGAAUUACUGGGCGUAAAGCGCGCGUAGGUGGUUUUGUAAGUUGGAGGUGAAAUCCCCGGGCUCAACCUGGGAACUGCCUCCAAAACUUCAUGACUAGAGUACGGUAGAGGGUAGUGGAAUUUCCUGUGUAGCGGUGAAAUGCGUAGAUAUAGGAAGGAACACCAGUGGCGAAGGCGACUACCUGGACUGAUACUGACACUGAGGUGCGAAAGCGUGGGGAGCAAACAGGAUUAGAUACCCGUGUAGUCC
Molecule: ribosomal RNA, 450 nt
Filed under: uncultured bacterium
Lineage: Bacteria
Description: partial 16S ribosomal RNA
Rfam family: Bacterial small subunit ribosomal RNA
Source: RNAcentral